This is a long non-coding RNA of Daphnia pulex (common water flea), 378 nucleotides long. RefSeq lists it as uncharacterized. The transcript has 4 exons. NCBI's taxonomy places the organism in Eukaryota, Metazoa, Arthropoda, Branchiopoda, Diplostraca, Daphniidae. The record is from RefSeq and is a predicted model, not a curated record.
UUCUACUGAAUGUGCCAUCGAAAUGAUACAGAUCACCAACGGCCCAGCAUAGAGCAAUCUCUCAUUUCAUCUUUCGAAAGAAGAUUGGAUAACUGAUCGGUGGUUUCAUGUGCAAGUUCACUGAUCAUGUCACUGAACUUUUUCUGUUGCAGUCUAAUAUGUAUUCAAAGUUCUAAACUCCAGGUUUCUAAAUUUGCAUGGCAGACUUUAUGAGAAGUCAUGUCCUUUCAAGAAAGUCAACAAGAUUCCUUGUUUGCUAACCCGUUGGCUGCUACCCUUGAAUCUCCCUUUAUACUUUCCUAAGCGGGCCAUCUUUAUUUGAGGGUAAUCCUUCGCUACUUGUCAUGGACUUCAUCCACUGGUGAAAACCAACGAGAG